RNAcentral lists this long non-coding RNA (639 nucleotides) under Anas platyrhynchos platyrhynchos (common mallard). RNAcentral describes it as "lncRNA (ENSAPLG00000027445.1)". The record is from RNAcentral. Lineage: Eukaryota; Metazoa; Chordata; Aves; Anseriformes; Anatidae.
CAUGGAAGCAAAUUUGUCCUUUUAUGGGAUAAUAAGUUUCCUUAGUUUCAUGUUUCAAAAGCUUCAUUUACGUUUCAACGCAAUACAAUUGCAUGAAAAGAGGAAUGUGUUUCCAAUAGAAUUAAAAUCCUUAAAAGUGUCUUUAUAACUGGUGUUUAUGCUGUAAACAGAGGGAAGGAUGGUUUUAUUUGGCCUCUGAUACACUUACGGAGAAAUAGUUGCCUCCAGAACCCCGCGUAUAGUUUGCAUACUAAUCAUUUUUGUAAUUGAUCUUUUCAGCUUUUUUCAUGCACUGUGGAAGGUUGUCAGAUGCCUCUUUGAAGUUAACUAAUGAUCGUGCGAGCAAAGAGUCUGCAGUGGGAGCCAGGUCUCUGGCGUUGUAGCAGCACAGCUUCCACAUGCUGGCGCUCUUCCGUUACCUUGUGGGAUUUUUUCAGGACAGCACUGGAAAGCAAGGGGGGAAGUGGAAGAAUGGAAGUGAUCAGCUUGCAGCUCGGCACCACUGUAAAGUGUUGCACAUUGCACGUGUCCCUUCUGAAAGAGGCAGCCUUGUCUGAGAGCCAAGAUCCAGGUGAAUUCUUGGGAGCGAGCCGCAAGCCAGAGCUUAGGGCAGCGGGAGGCGCCAAGCUGGACAAAUGA